This 72-nucleotide transfer RNA is filed under the name Cavia porcellus (domestic guinea pig). It matches the Rfam family "tRNA". Rfam says of the family: Transfer RNA (tRNA) molecules are approximately 80 nucleotides in length. Their secondary structure includes four short double-helical elements and three loops (D, anti-codon, and T loops). Further hydrogen bonds mediate the characteristic L-shaped molecular structure. tRNAs have two regions of fundamental functional importance: the anti-codon, which is responsible for specific mRNA codon recognition, and the 3' end, to which the tRNAs corresponding amino acid is attached (by aminoacyl-tRNA synthetases). tRNAs cope with the degeneracy of the genetic code in two manners: having more than one tRNA (with a specific anti-codon) for a particular amino acid; and 'wobble' base-pairing, i.e. permitting non-standard base-pairing at the 3rd anti-codon position. Lineage: Eukaryota; Metazoa; Chordata; Mammalia; Rodentia; Caviidae. The record is from Rfam by way of RNAcentral.
GGUUGUGUAGCUCAGUGUUAGAGCAUUUAUCUAGAGUGUGAGAAGCCCUGGGUUCAAUCCCCAACGUCAUUA